GCAAAGAGAAAGAAAGUGAUGAAGAAAAAGAAAAAAGAGAAAGAAAAAAGAUUCUUCUUUCCUCUUUCCCCUUUCCCCUUUCCUCUUCGUUUUCUUUCCCUCUUUCUCUUUCU
RNAcentral lists this non-coding RNA (113 nucleotides) under Paramoeba aestuarina. The record is from RNAcentral. Lineage: Eukaryota; Discosea; Flabellinia; Dactylopodida; Paramoebidae.